CACCAUGUUACUGUAUUUUCUCUGAAGAAAGCAGCUCUGUUAGACAAGCACAUCAGAACCUGCAGUACUUUCAUGAUUAAGAACCUUCCUUUGAUUCGCUAUUGAGAAUGAGAGAACAGGCUGCCUGAAAGGAGAAUGCCCCCACGCUCAACCUCUUGCUUUUGGAAAGAUCUCCUGAUGAUUACCCAGCAGCCAGUGGGACA
This is a non-coding RNA of Pelodiscus sinensis (Chinese soft-shelled turtle), 203 nucleotides long. The record is from RefSeq and is a predicted model, not a curated record. NCBI's taxonomy places the organism in Eukaryota, Metazoa, Chordata, Testudines, Trionychidae.